GAUGAACGCUGGCGGCGUGCCUAAUACAUGCAAGUCGAGCGAACAGACGAGGAGCUUGCUCCUCUGACGUUAGCGGCGGACGGGUGAGUAACACGUGGAUAACCUACCUAUAAGACUGGGAUAACUUCGGGAAACCGGAGCUAAUACCGGAUAAUAUAUUGAACCGCAUGGUUCAAUAGUGAAAGACGGUUUUGCUGUCACUUAUAGAUGGAUCCGCGCCGCAUUAGCUAGUUGGUAAGGUAACGGCUUACCAAGGCAACGAUGCGUAGCCGACCUGAGAGGGUGAUCGGCCACACUGGAACUGAGACACGGUCCAGACUCCUACAGGAGGCAGCAGUAGGGAAUCUUCCGCAAUGGGCGAAAGCUUGACGGAGCAACGCCGCGUGAGUGAUGAAGGUCUUCGGAUCGUAAAACUCUGUUAUUAGGGAAGAACAAAUGUGUAAGUAACUAUGCACGUCUUGACGGUACCUAAUCAGAAAGCCACGGCUAACUACGUGC
Molecule: ribosomal RNA, 498 nt
Filed under: uncultured bacterium
Lineage: Bacteria
Description: partial 16S ribosomal RNA
Rfam family: Bacterial small subunit ribosomal RNA
Source: RNAcentral